GUGUCAGCAGCCGCGGUAACACCAGCGCCACGAGUGGCUAUCACGAUUAUUGGGCCUAAAGCGUCCGUAGUCGGCUCUGUGCAUCUUCUGUGAAAUCGUUGCGCUUAACGUAACGGCAUGCGGAAGACACGGCAGAGCUUGAGACCGGGAGGCGUGAAGGGUAUUCUUAGGGGACCGGUAAAAUGGUAUAAUCCUAAGAGGACCACCUGUGGCGAAGGCGCUUCACGAGAACGGAUCUGACGAUGAGGGACGAAAGCCAGGGGAGCAAACCGGAUUAGAUACCCUUGUAGUCC
Molecule: ribosomal RNA, 293 nt
Filed under: uncultured bacterium
Lineage: Bacteria
Description: partial 16S ribosomal RNA
Rfam family: Archaeal small subunit ribosomal RNA
Source: RNAcentral